ACUUCAAUUCUUUUCGUCAAUCUUCAUCUUCUAAUUCUUCGAGACUCCAUCCAAACCAUCACGAAAUUCGCCAACUUAUAAAAUCCUUAACAACUACACAUGUCGAUCUUUAACCAACCCAAGAAAAAGAUUAAAACUCACCUAUAAUGUAGAAAAAUCCUCUCAAAUCCCAAAAGUGAGCUAGGUCCCUUCAAAUCCAACUUAAACAAAGGUUCUAAACCAAUCAAUUAAGCUCCAAAAGCUUCUAAUCAAAAAUUCCCAA
This 262-nucleotide long non-coding RNA is filed under the name Ananas comosus (pineapple). RNAcentral describes it as "long non-coding RNA (ACOM_LNC002061)". The record is from RNAcentral. Lineage: Eukaryota; Viridiplantae; Streptophyta; Magnoliopsida; Poales; Bromeliaceae.